This 71-nucleotide transfer RNA is filed under the name Ovis aries (sheep). It matches the Rfam family "tRNA". Rfam says of the family: Transfer RNA (tRNA) molecules are approximately 80 nucleotides in length. Their secondary structure includes four short double-helical elements and three loops (D, anti-codon, and T loops). The record is from Rfam by way of RNAcentral. Lineage: Eukaryota; Metazoa; Chordata; Mammalia; Artiodactyla; Bovidae.
CCAGGGGUAGCUCAGAGCUUACAGUGUCUGCCUGGAAUGCAGGAGACCAGGGUUCGAUCCCUGGCUCGGGA